Molecule: ribosomal RNA, 438 nt
Filed under: uncultured bacterium
Lineage: Bacteria
Description: partial 16S ribosomal RNA
Rfam family: Bacterial small subunit ribosomal RNA
Source: RNAcentral
CUACGGGGGGCAGCAGUGAGGAAUAUUGCACAAUGGGGGGAACCCUGAUGCGGCAACGCCGCGUGGAGGAUGACGCAUUUCGGUGUGUAAACUCCUUUUAUAUGUCAAGAAAAUGACGGUAGCAUAUGAAUAAGCACCGGCUAACUCCGUGCCAGCAGCCGCGGUAAUACGGAGGGUGCAAGCGUUACUCGGAAUCACUGGGCGUAAAGGACGCGUAGGCGGGUUGGAAAGUCAGGUGUGAAAUCCUACAGCUUAACUGUAGAACUGAACUUGAAACUUCUAAUCUAGAGUAUGGGAGGGGGAGAUGGAAUUAGUGGUGUAGGGGUAUAAUCCGUAGAUAUCACUAGGAAUACCUAAAGCGAAGGCGAUCUCCUGGAACAUUACUGACGCUAAGGCGUGAAAGCGUGGGGAGCAAACAGGAUUGAUACCCUCGUAGUC